This 403-nucleotide ribosomal RNA is filed under the name Fusobacteriota bacterium. Its description in RNAcentral is "Fusobacteria bacterium partial 16S ribosomal RNA". It matches the Rfam family "Bacterial small subunit ribosomal RNA", at positions 355 to 776 of the family's 1533-position model. The record is from RNAcentral. Lineage: Bacteria; Fusobacteriati; Fusobacteriota.
UGGGGAAUAUUGCACAAUGGAGGGAACUCUGAUGCAGCGACGCCGCGUGAACGAAGAAGGCUUUCGAGUCGUAAAGUUCUUCUAUAUGGGAAGAUAAUGACGGUACCAUAAGAAAAAGCCCCGGCUAACUACGUGCCAGCAGCCGCGGUAAUACGUAGGGGGCUAGCGUUGUCCGGAAUCACUGGGCGUAAAGGGUUCGCAGGCGGAAAUGCAAGUCAGGUGUAAAAGGCAGUAGCUUAACUACUGUAAGCAUUUGAAACUGCAUAUCUUGGGAAGAGUAGAGGUAAGUGGAAUUUUUAGUGUAGCGGUGAAAUGCGUAGAUAUGAAAAAGAAUACCGGUGGCGAAGGCGACUUACUGGGCUCAUUCUGACGCUGAGGAACGAAAGCGUGGGUAGCAAACAGG